AAAUACUACAAAAUAAAAUUAUUACCAAUGCAAAACGAAAAGCAUGGGAAAACAUAGAAGACUUAAUAAAAAUAAGAAAAAGUAUAAAAACAUUGAAAAAUUCAAAGCCGUUAAAAAUAAAAUAAAAUUACAUAAAAAAGAAAUCAAGCUUAAAAUUGCAAAACAAUUUGUGCUGAACCUAUCCCCUAAAACAUUAUCACAACCAGAAACACUAGUUCUUGCUAAAGGACUUAACUUUGUUCCAACAACAAAAACAUCCAUAAAACAAAUAAUGAAAGAUUUCAA
This 285-nucleotide long non-coding RNA is filed under the name Mytilus galloprovincialis (Mediterranean mussel). Lineage: Eukaryota; Metazoa; Mollusca; Bivalvia; Mytilida; Mytilidae. The record is from RNAcentral.